Molecule: ribosomal RNA, 490 nt
Filed under: uncultured bacterium
Lineage: Bacteria
Description: partial 16S ribosomal RNA
Rfam family: Bacterial small subunit ribosomal RNA
Source: RNAcentral
AGUGAACGCUGGCGGUAGGCCUAACACAUGCAAGUCGAACGGCAGCACAGUAAGAGCUUGCUCUUACGGGUGGCGAGUGGCGGACGGGUGAGGAAUACAUCGGAAUCUACUUUUUCGUGGGGGAUAACGUAGGGAAACUUACGCUAAUACCGCAUACGACCUACGGGUGAAAGCAGGGGAUCUUCGGACCUUGCGCGAUUGAAUGAGCCGAUGUCGGAUAGCUAGUUGGCGGGGUAAAGGCCCACCAAGGCGACGAUCCGUAGCUGGUCUGAGAGGAUGAUCAGCCACACUGGAACUGAGACACGGUCCAGACUCCUACGGGAGGCAGCAGUGGGGAAUAUUGGACAAUGGGCGCAAGCCUGAUCCAGCCAUACCGCGUGGGUGAAGAAGGCCUUCGGGUUGUAAAGCCCUUUUGUUGGGAAAGAAAAGCAGCAGGUUAAUACCCCGCUGUUCUGACGGUACCCAAAGAAUAAGCACCGGCUAACUUCGU